GACGAACGCUGGCGGCGUGCUUAACACAUGCAAGUCGAACGGAAAGGCCCUGCUUUUGUGGGGUGCUCGAGUGGCGAACGGGUGAGUAACACGUGAGUAACCUGCCCUUGACUUUGGGAUAACUUCAGGAAACUGGGGCUAAUACCGGAUAGGAGCUCCUGCUGCAUGGUGGGGGUUGGAAAGUUUCGGCGGUUGGGGAUGGACUCGCGGCUUAUCAGCUUGUUGGUGGGGUAGUGGCUUACCAAGGCUUUGACGGGUAGCCGGCCUGAGAGGGUGACCGGCCACAUUGGGACUGAGAUACGGCCCAGACUCGUACGGGAGGCAGCAGUGGGAAAUAUUGCACAAUGGGCGGAAGCCUGAUGCAGCAACGCCGCGUGCGGGAUGACGGCCUUCGGGUUGUAAACCGCUUUCGCCUGUGACGAAGCGUGAGUGACGGUAAUGGGUAAAGAAGCACCGGCUAACUACGUG
RNAcentral lists this ribosomal RNA (468 nucleotides) under uncultured bacterium. RNAcentral describes it as "partial 16S ribosomal RNA". It matches the Rfam family "Bacterial small subunit ribosomal RNA", at positions 28 to 507 of the family's 1533-position model. The record is from RNAcentral.